RNAcentral lists this ribosomal RNA (253 nucleotides) under uncultured bacterium. RNAcentral's name for it is "partial 16S ribosomal RNA". It matches the Rfam family "Bacterial small subunit ribosomal RNA", at positions 524 to 776 of the family's 1533-position model. The record is from RNAcentral.
UACGAAGGGUGCAAGCGUUACUCGGAAUUACUGGGCGUAAAGCGUGCGUAGGUGGUUCGUUAAGUCUGAUGUGAAAGCCCUGGGCUCAACCUGGGAAUGGCAUUGGAAACUGGCGACCUAGAGUGCGGUAGAGGGUAGUGGAAUUCCCGGUGUAGCAGUGAAAUGCGUAGAGAUCGGGAGGAACAUCUGUGGCGAAGGCGACUACCUGGACCAGCACUGACACUGAGGCACGAAAGCGUGGGGAGCAAACAGG